RNAcentral lists this ribosomal RNA (459 nucleotides) under uncultured bacterium. RNAcentral describes it as "partial 16S ribosomal RNA". It matches the Rfam family "Bacterial small subunit ribosomal RNA", at positions 338 to 795 of the family's 1533-position model. The record is from RNAcentral.
CCUACGGGAGGCAGCAGUGAGGAAUAUUGGUCAAUGGCCGUAAGGCUGAACCAGCCAAGUCGCGUGAAGGAAGAAGGAUCUAUGGUUUGUAAACUUCUUUUAUAGGGGAAUAAAGGUAUCCACGUGUGGAUAUUUGCAUGUACCCUAUGAAUAAGCAUCGGCUAACUCCGUGCCAGCAGCCGCGGUAAUACGGAGGAUGCGAGCGUUAUCCGGGUUUAUUGGGUUUAAAGGGUGCGUAGGUUGUUUUUUAAGUCAGCGGUGAAAGUUUGUGGCUCAACCAUAAAAUUGCCGUUGAAACUGGAAGUCUUGCGUGUGUUUGAGGUAGGCGGACUGCGUGGUGUCGCGGUCAACUGCCUCGCUCUCACGCCGAACUCCGCUUGCAACGGCAGCUUACUAAGCCAUAACUGACACUGCCGCACUAACGCGUGGGUCUCAAACCGGCUUCUCUACCCAGUAGUC